RNAcentral lists this ribosomal RNA (465 nucleotides) under uncultured bacterium. Its description in RNAcentral is "bacterial SSU rRNA". It matches the Rfam family "Bacterial small subunit ribosomal RNA", at positions 338 to 795 of the family's 1533-position model. The record is from RNAcentral.
CCUACGGGAGGCGGCAGUGGGGAAUAUUGCACAAUGGGCGCAAGCCUGAUGCAGCCAUGCCGCGUGUAUGAAGAAGGCCUUCGGGUUGUAAAGUACUUUCAGCGGGGAGGAAGGUGUUGUGGUUAAUAACCACAGCAAUUGACGUUACGCGCAGAAGAAGCACCGGCUAACUCCGUGCCAGCAGCCGCGGUAAUACGGAGGGUGCAAGCGUUAAUCGGAAUUACUGGGCGUAAAGCGCACGCAGGCGGUCUGUCAAGUCGGAUGUCAAAUCCCCGGGCUCAACCUGGGAACUGCAUUCGAAACUGGCAGGCUAGAGUCUUAUAGAGGGGGGUAGAAUUCCAGGUGUAGCGGUGAAAUGCGUAGAGAUCUGGAGGCAUACCGGUGGCGAAGGCGGCCCCCUGGACAAAGACUGACGCUCAGGUGCGAAGGCGUGGGGAGCAAACAGGAUUAGAUACCCGUGUAGUC